This 13843-nucleotide long non-coding RNA is filed under the name Capsicum annuum. RNAcentral describes it as "long non-coding RNA (CANN_LNC018950)". Lineage: Eukaryota; Viridiplantae; Streptophyta; Magnoliopsida; Solanales; Solanaceae. The record is from RNAcentral.
AUCAAAAAAUACUGAUCACAUCAAUAUGAUAAAAUAAAUAUUGAACGAUCUAAAUACGACAUCUAAAAUUUAAGAUUGAAUCUAGUAGUUCGACAAGCCUCGACUAACUGAAUCUACACAGUCACUGGGACAGGCCCCAGCUGACUCCGAUUGUCUGAAGAGAAUAAUAAAAAUAUUUACUAGAAACUGAAAAUCUGAAUAGCUAAGUCCCCAAACUAAGAGGACUCACCAACUGCAGGGAUGUAGAUGAGAUGCUCCAAAAUCACUCUCGCUGCUGAGACUGAGCACCUGAACCUACAUUAUAAGACAAUAUAGCACAUAGAAGUAUAUGUGAAUCCAUACUUUGAUGAUGUACCGAGUAUAUGGGGGUGCAUGCAAUAAGUAAACAAUAUCAUCACAGUUUCUAGAAAACAUCAUGCAUGCUAAAUGUAAAUGACUCAUGUAAGCUUGAGUAAUUUGAAAACUGAAAGUCAAAUCAUGAAUAAUAAAACAUGUAAUCUAAAUCUUGUGAGCCAUUACACUUAGUUCUGAAAUUUGUAUUUUGUUCUUAUUCUUAAACCAUAUAGGCUAAGUGAAAAAGGGCUCACCUUUUUAUGUCUGAAAACUAAAAGCUGUAAUUCUGUAACUGAAAUAUUAAGUAAAGUAAUAUCUGAGUAAGUUUAUGAGCCUUUACACUUAGUUUCUAAAAUCUGGAAAAUACUUUAUCUUAGGUCUUUAAAGAAAUUAGUUUAUCUGAAGGAAGGUUCUCUUAACUGACAUAAACCAUGUGCGCUAACAUGAAGUCCAACGUCUCAUCCUCCUAAGGAAGAAACCUCACGUUGGGGAGAGGUGUCAUACUCUUGCUAGGGAGUAUAACCCGAGCUAAGUGAUCACAUCUGUAACUGUCAUCCACAUAGAAGUGGGAAUACUCUGAUAAUCUGUACCUAUGUUGGCUACAUAGUUCUGUGGAAGUAAGAUGCGCUAAACCCACACUCCACACUCUGUGCUAAAUACUACUCCCUUAUUAGUUGCUAUGCUUAUUCUGUUGGAAAUUCUUUUUUAAAACUAGCAUAAGGGUUUAUCUAAAAUCAAAUAUGCAUUUUUUUAAAAUCUGUAAAUAAAGUUGAUCUAAAUUCUAUAAAGUGGAUUCCAUAGCUAAACUGAUGAUCAAAGAUCAAAACUUUUUUGAAAAUCUAAAAAUAAUAUGUUCACAAGAUGCUUAAAGAAUCAUCUUUCUUGAAGUAACCUUGUUCAAUCUUGGGAUAAAUAACCCAUGCAUCAAUCUUAGGUUAAAUCAUCAAAAUGUUCAUGCUUGAUAAUAUGAUUAUUGAUAAAUCAACUCAAAAUCUGGAAAUUUCAGUAAUAUACAUGGAAACAUAAACAUAAUCAUGUAAUUUAACUUCUAAAUUAUGGAAAAUCUCAUAAUCUUGCAAAUAAUGAUAAUGGGUAUAAACCCUAACUUCAAAUUCAUGGAAAAUCAUAUAUAAUUCAGAAAAUUUGUAAUUAAAACGAAGUUUUGGGCACAAGGAUGAAAGAAGUAUCCUUGUUCAGACCCCACAUACCUUAAUUGAUGAUCUUUGAUGAGAGACUCGUAAUCUUGGAUUCCUAUUGAUAUUUUGGAGAUGACUUCUUAGUGUUCUUGUAUUGGAAAUUCUUAAUUUGGACUAUCUUGGAAAAUUAAUGGAGAAAUUCUGAGUUUCUUGAAGAGGAAGUAUGAUGAACUAGGGUUUUGUUUUGAGGGGAAAGAUGAACAAUGCAUUAAGUUCUUUGAAAUUUGAGUACUCUUAUGUUUUUGGAUGGAUUGGGGGUUAGGGGAUUUACAAAAAUAUCCUUUUUUAAUCUUAAACGGAACCGAAAAAUGUAAUUUUUCCUGAUUUGGGUGGCCACCGCUACGCGCCACAGUCACGGUGGCUCACUGAAAAAAUGACAACUGGAAACUGGGCAGACUCCGCGAUGCGGAGUCAUCGUGGUGCCCCUUUGAAAUGUCAUUUUGGCACAUGGCGCAACACGCUAUUAUCGCGUUGGACCUUUGAAAAUUGACGACUAGGAAGUUUACCCUCUCCGCGAUAUACAACAUCGCGAAGGGCCACUGAAAAAUUACAACUGAGAUUCGACAUUGAUCCGCGGCGCGCUAAGGGUCUAAAUGACGGUGUUUUACGACUGGAACUUAAAAUAACCAUAGCUUCUCACCCGGUUAUCGAAUAUAGGUGAAUCUUAUAUCAUUGGAAAGAUAAUUCAAUUUCCCAUGCCAUGGUAAGUCCAAAUCUAAAGAAUUUCAUAUGAAAUAAACAUCACUCAUUCUAGAAGGUACUAUAGAUAUGAUAGUGUUGUCAGAUCAAAUCAGUUGACUAACUCAACCAAGUUAACUUAUAGUAAUAGCUAUUAUAGUUGUGAAGGAUCUCAUCAGUCAACUAUUCGAGUAAGUCAACUAAAUGAAGGAAUCAUAGUCCAAAUACCUAUCAUAGAAGGUACUAUAGAUAUGAUAGAUCUCAAAGGUCAACUAACUCAAUUCAUUCUACUGAGAGAUAUAAUCAAAGUUAAAAUACUUAUUAUACAACCACUAAUCGAUACUAUAUGUCUCGUUACGAAAACCUAUUCAUAAAUUUUAAAACUGCAGAUUUCGCUUUAGAAAUCCUAGUAAAUGGAUUUGGAGACCCAAAACCGAGUCAACAAAUCCAAAAAAUAAUCUCAAUGGACCAAUAAUGCUUGGGUACCUAGAAAUAAGUAAUAAAUUUGUUUUGUAGGAAAUACACUCAAAAUACAAAGGAAAAUUGUAUCUCGAUAGUGGAUGUUCAAAUCACAUAACUAGAAAUAAGAAUUUAUUUGAAACCAUAACUGAUUUUGAUGGAGAUGACAUCAUCUUUGGAGAUAACGCCAAAGGCAAGGUAAUAGGUAUUGGUACCAUCUCUUUUAAUGAUUUUUUUGAUAUUACUAAUGUUAAUUUGGUCAGCAAUUUAAAGUACAAUCUUCUAAGCAUCAGUUAGUUAUGUGAUGCUGGAUUGGAGGUAAGAUUUAAAAAGGAAGGAUGCACAAUUAAAAAAUAUAGAAGGCAAGUCCUUAUUGGAAACGAACACAGAAAUAUGUAUGUUCUAGAAUCCAUCAAAAGGACAAAAAAACAUAUAUAUGUCUUGCUUCCAUCUCUGAUGAUCCAUGGAUUUGGCACAAAAAACUUAGCCAUGUAAGCAUGAGACAUAUUGAAAAAUUAGUAAAGCAUGAUCUUGUGACUAUAUUGCCAAACCUUGAUUUCAAAAAGACCCAUAUUUGUGAUGCUUGCUAGCUUGGUAAGAAAACUAGAAAUUCUUUUCCUGUAAAAGAUACUGUGUCAACUACUAAACCCUUACAACUUAUUCAUAUGGACCUAUUGGUUUAACUAAAACUACCAGCAUUGGUGGAAAAAGAUAUGCUUUUGUAAUUAUUGAUGAUUAUUCUCGUUUCACGUGGGUUAUAUUUUUGGCUAACAAAAAUUAUACCCUAAAGUAUUUUAAAGUUCUCUGUGAGUAGGUUCAAAGAGAAAAGGCCUACAUCACUGCUGUUAGAACUGGUCAUGGGGGAGAAUUUGAAAAUAAAGAGUUCAAAAUCUUUUGUGACACCCAUGGAUACACUCAUAAAUUCCCAACUCCAAGGUCCCCUCAACAAAAUGGUAUGGUUAAACAGAAGAAUAAAACACUUUAAGACAUGGAUCGAACCAUGAUAUGUGAACACUCUCUACCACACAAGUUCUGGGCAGAAACAGUCAGUACUACAUGUCAUGUUUUGAACAGGUGUCUCAUCCCAUUCUGAAGAAAACUCUAUAUGAGCUUUGGAAUAAUAAAAGACCCAACAUUGGGUACUUUCAUGCUUUUGGCUCUAAAUGUUUUUUCCAUAACAAUGGCAAAGACAACAUUGGUAAGUUUAAUCCAAGAAGCGACGAAAGUAUUUUUAUAGACUACUCUAACUCUAGAAGGUCAUACAGAAUUUUUAAUAAACAUACUCUUUCCAUUGAGGAAUCUGUCCAGUUGUUUUUCAUGAUACUAAUCACUACGUUAAGAAUGUUAGCUCAAUAGAUGAUGUUAUUAAAUAAGUACAACUUAUCAAAACUCCUUCUACAAAGGAUAAAUGCUCUUUAAAUCCCUCUACCACUGAAACUGACCAGUUUAUGACUACUUUAAAUGAUCAAAAUAAACUAGAAGCAAUUCCAAAUGAAUAGAGAAGCGGGCCUGACUAUCCUAAGAAAUCUAUCAUUAGGGAUGAAGUUAAAGGUGUUUUGUGCAAGGACUUCUCUAAAAGAGCUUCCAGUAGAAGAAAUGCAAACAUAGCCUUCAUUUCUGAGCUGGAACCAAAGAAAGUCAGUGAAGCAUUAAAGAUAAAAAACAAGGUAAAAGAAAUGAAGAAGAUCUUGAGAAGUUUGACCAGAACAAUGUGUGGACCCUUGUCCCAUAACUAGAAAAUAUCUCUAUUAUUGGAACCAAAUGGGUAUAUAGAAAUAAAAUGGAUGAAUCAGGUAAAGUUGUGCAAAAUAAAGAUUAUUUAGUCGCUCAAUGCUACUCAAAACAAGAAGGAGUCGAUUAUGAUGAAACCUUCAUAUGUUCUUAUAAAGAAUUUAAAUUAUUUCAAAUGAAUGUGAAAAGUGCCUUCUUAAAUGGGUUUAUUGAUGAACAAGUUUUCGUAAAACAACUCCCAAGUUUUGAAAAUCCAAACUUUCCAUAUCAUGUCUUCAAACUUUCCAAAGCUCUCUAUGGUCUAAAGCAAGCGUCUAGAGCUUGGUAUGAUAGACUAAGUAACUUUCUUAUCGACCGUGAUUUCACAAAAGGAAAAAUUGAUACUACUUUACUUAUCAAAUGAACCCUAUCUGGAAACUUGACUAUUCAAAUUUUAAUUGAUAAUAUUAUUUUUGGAAGUACUAAUGUUGUUUUGUGCAAGGACUUCUCUAAAUUAAUGCAAAGUGAAUUUGAGAUGAGAAUGAUGGGAGAAUUAACAUUCUUUUUGGGAUUGCAAAUUCACCAGUUUACUGAGGGAACCUUCAUCUUCCAAAGUAAGUACACUAAAGAUCUUAUUCAAAGGUUUGGGAUGGAUAAUGCCAAACUAUCCAAAACCUCUAUGAGCUCUACAUGUGUUCUAGAGUCAUAUGAAGAUGGCAAAAUAUUGAAAAAAGAAAUUAUUAUGGCAUUGUUGGCUUACUCUUAUAUCUUAUAACCAGCCGACUUGACACUCUCUUCAGCGUACAUAAAUGUGCCAGGUUUCAUUUAGCUCCUAAAAAAGCUUAUCUAACUGCUAUGAAACAUAUUAUUAGAUACCAUUUUGGUACAAGCUCCUAUUAUUUAGAUGUCCUAAGUCUGCUGACAUUAUUUUAAAAGAUUUCUCAGAUGCAAAUUAUGCAGGUGAUAAGGUUGAUAGAAAAAGUACCAGUAGUACUUUCCAGUUCAAGGGACAAUCCUAUGCGUCAUGGAAUAGCAAGAAGAAAAAUUGUGUUUCUUUAUCUACCACAGAUCUAAACAUAUAGCCAUCGGAUUGUGUUGUGCUCAUAUUCUUUGGAUGUCCCUUCAACUCAGUGAUUAUGAUCUAUGUUUUAAACCUAUCCAAAUUUUCUGUGAUAACUCUAGUGCUAUUUUUUUGUCCAAAAAUCCUAUACAUCAUUCUAGAUCAAAACACAUCGAUGUUAAGCAUCACUUUAUUAGAGAUCAUGUUUCAAAAAGUGACAUUGAAUUAUAUUUUGUGAGUACUGUUUUUCAACUCGCUGAUAUUUUUACCAAACCUUUUCAUGAAGAAAGAUUUUAUUCACUUACAAAUGAUAAGAAUCGAGUUACGUUAUAUGUUAAUAAACAAUAAAAUAAUUCGGAAGCAAAAUCCCUAAGAUUAAAGACAAGAAAUUAAAGAUAGAUAAAAUUUGAGAAUAAAUCUCCAAUUUCGAGAUAAGUGCUAAGAACCCUAAUUGAUCUUGGUAUUCAAAUUUAGUGGAUUAAGACUAAUUAUGAUACUAAUAGAGUCAAUUCAAGAACUUAGAUCCAAAGGUGAUCUAGAUCCCUAUUUCGAAGAAAUUAAAGACAACAAUUAUUAGUAUAAGACUAAUCACCUUCUUUAAUUAACUUUAAUAGAAACCAAAGAUAUCAAGUUAAGAAUUAAUCUUACCUCCUAAAGAAUUGCUCUUAUAAGGUUUCAAGAUAAAUCCCAAGUAGCCACACACAAAGGUGUAAAUAAGAGAAACUCUUAAUUAAUAAUAAUAUUGUCUGAUUGAAAAUAACAAAAUCCUUCCAUAUAUAUAGGGAAAAAACCUAUCCCAAAUAGCAUGAGAUUCGAAUUCUACUUUUAUGGAAAUAAAUAAAUUUAGGAAACUUUAAACUAGAAAACUUUUAAAUUAGGAAACUUUAAAUUAGGAAAGCAAAAGUUUCUGAAUUCAAUCAAAAUUCAUAUGGGCCCAAUCUUCUUCCUUUUGGACUUAGACUUGAAUCAUGAAAUAUGUGUAGCACUUUGCCCAUUCUUCUCCAUGAUUCUUGGACUCUUCUUUCAUAAUAAAUAUCUUCUUGAUUCACAUUGAAGCUCGUCAAUCUUAAUGCAAGUAGGUCAGCCUAGAUGCAAUCAUUCCCCUCUUCUUGAAAAUAAUUCAUCCUUGAAUUUGAAUCUCACAAAAUUAAGAAGACAUACAAUAAUAAAUAACAUCUAUUACUUGAAAACAACAAUGGCAAGAACAAAACAAGAUAGUGACCAUGUGUCCACUUAACCCAGUUAAUCCUUACAUGUAUAAAUACACCUUUAUAAAGCAUGUGGACAUCAUCAUCCCAACAGAAAAUUCUCUUUCUUGUACGAGCACAACAAUAUUCACGUUUAUAUGACGUAGGGAAUGAUAUGUGCCUCCUUAAUUUAGCUCUAUCAAUAAAGUACUCCACUGGGCUUGUUAAAUACGUCAUAAGCUCCAUAAAAUAUGUAUUAAAUUUAACACUUUUAUGAUAUAGCCAAGCAUCAUCAAUUACACUUCUCAAAGAUUUUUUCCCAGGGUUGGAGAUUUGACCCAGUUGUCUUCGUGAGGCUCAUAGUUCUGGAUACUUUAUUCAUCUCGGGACAGCUAAGAUGUAUAGGAAUUUGAAGCAGCAUUACUAGUGGAGUGGUAUGCGGAGAGAUAUAGCAAGGUUUGUGGCACGAUGUCUUUGUUGUCAGCAAGUAAAGGCCAAGCAUCAGAGACCUGGUGGAUUACUUCAGCAGCUACCCAUUCCCGAGUGGAAAUGGGAGCGAGUUACUAUGGAUUUCGUAGGUGGAUUGCCUCGCACUUCGCAUGGUUUUGAUAGCAUUUGGGUCAUCGUGGAUCGAUUGACCAAGUCCGGCCCGCACAUUUUAUCCCCAUUCGAGUUUCCUACAGUGUCGAGAGGUUAGCCCGUGUUUACAUUCAGGAGGUGGUUCGCCUAUGUGGGGUCCCUGUGUCUAUUAUUUUCGAUCGAGGCUCUCAGUUCACUUCUAGCUUUUGGAGGACAUUUCAGGAGGAGUUGGGAACCCAGGUUGACCUUAGCACAGCCUUUCAUCCCCAGACUGAUGGGUAGUCAAAGCGGACUAUCCAGGUUCUAGAGGAUAUGCUCCGCGCUUGUGUUUGAAUUUUGGAGGACAGUGGGACCAGUUUCUACCUUUGGCAGAGUUUGCAUAUAAUAACAACUUUCACUCGAGUAUUCAGAUGGCCCCAUUUGAAGCAUUAUAUGGUAGGCGAUGUCGAUCUCCUAUUGGUUGGUUUGACCUCUAAGGCUAGGCCUCGUGGCACAGAUUUUCUUCGUGAUUUGUUGAAUCGGGUUCGAGUGAUUCAGGAGCAGCCUAGAGUAGGCGGAAGAGUUAUGCUGAUCGGAGACAUCUAUUGAGGUUUAGAGUUGGUGAUAUGGUCUUCCUGCGAGUAUCUCCCAUAAAGGGCAUGAUGAGGUUCGGGAGGAGGGGCAAGCUUAGCCCUAGAUAUAUUGAACCUUUUGAGAUCCUACAGACAGUUGGGGAGGUAGUUUAUGUGUUGGCAUUGCCACCUUCCUUCUCAGUCAUUCACCCGGUGUUUCAUGUAUCUAUGUUGCGGCAGUAUAUUCCAGAUGAGUCGCACGUACUUCAGUGAGACACGGUUCAAUUGGACGAGAAGUUGGCGUUUGUAGAGGAGCCAACAUCUAUUUUGGCGAGGAAUGUCAAGCGAUUGCGCUCCAAAGACAUUCCGGUAGUUAAGGUUCAGUGGCGUCACCGCCCAGUUGAGGAGGCUACCUGGGAGAUCGAGCGUGAUAUGCGCGCCCAGUAUCCCUACCUAUUUGAGCCUUCAGGUAUGGCCUUAUCUUUUACUUUUACGGACGAAAUUUCUUUUAGUAGUGGAUGUUGUAAUGACCCUUACGGUCAUUUUCCUGUAUUUUCAUAUAAUUUUAGUAAUAUCUAAAUGUAUCAUGGAUUAUUUAAUUUAAUUUGGCAUUGGUAGAAAUAUAAUUUAGUACCCUUGUAGAAUAUUUUUGAUAUUGGUAAAAUUCUCUAUUAGAUGAUAUAUUCAUAUCACUUUAUAAUAGACUUUUAUGAUUUAUUAAUAUUUUAAGCGGAGAUAGUAAUUUUAGAAAUGUUAAAAUAUUAUUAUUAUAUAAUAGAGGUUUUGUUAGAAAUAAUUUUCUAUUAAUUAUGAUAUAUUCAAAAUAUUAUAAUUAUUUUAUCACGAAUUUAUACAAUACUCGAAUAUAUACGCAGUGUAGAAAAUUAAUUGGUGUGGCCACCAUAGCACACGUGGAAUGGAAAGGGUGGACCACAUGCUGCCACUUGUCUUCAAACCUUAGGCCUAAUCUUACUUAUAUAUGGUACACUUGAAUAUUAAAAGUGGAAAAAAAAAGGAAAAGUGAACUUUCAUCCACUGAUUGUAUACAUAUACACGUCCAUAUCUGUAUUUUCCCAUAUAUUUGGCCUUUCUCGAUUUGCUUUUUCUUUUUUUUAAUAAAAUUGCUUAGAGUUCUUGGUUAGCUCUACAAAGUUGCAUAUAAGUUAAGAGGAGUGGUGGAAAACAAUUUCUUUGAUGUCAUUCAAAUUCGGGUUAUAGCGAGAUAUUAUUUGGAGGCUUCGCGGAAAGAUAUUAUAGCUUUGGCGUCCAGGUAGGCUAGGUUUACCCUAUCUUUAGAUUGAGCUUAUUUACCAAAAUUGUAAACUAUUAUGCUAGCUCUAGAUAAGUGCUUAUAGUUGUGCAACAUUUGAUAUCUAACAUGCCCUAUUUAUCCGGAUUAGGACCCCGUUCUAGUAAAUAUUGGAAUAUUAUCUUUUAAUAUAAUAUAGCACGUGAAACUAAAUUGCAAAAUCUUGAAUUUAUCCCUUUUUAAUUAAGAAUGACGGAUGAUUAUUUGGAUGUUGACAUUGUUAUGGUAUGGUAUGGAUUUUAAUAUUACCUCGAGUCCGGCAUUUGAUUAUUAUUGUUACUAUGAGUUCCGGUUCGAGUCCGACAUUUGAUUAUUAUUGUUACCAUGAGUUCCGGUCCAGCAUCUGAUUAUGGUUGUGGUUCCUCUGAGUUCCAGUUCAAGUCCGGCAUCUGAUUAUAAGUUCUAUAUAUGUGGCCUAUCGUUAUUACUCACUAUGUCCGGUUCGAGUCCGGCACAUGUCCUCUUGUUAUUAUCAAUUACUAACGGUUCGAGUUCAGUGUCUGGCCUCUCGUUACUCCCCAUUGGUGCUGGUUCAAGUCUGGUGCACACUUGGAUGGCUAUCAUGAUUUAUUGGGAUCAGCCCAGUUAUAGAUUAUUUAUGUUUAUUUUCAUUACUUGUGUGUCCCAUCGGCUUAUGGGGGUACGAUUGGGUUAAUUGUCUUCUUCAGUGUGCCUAGCGGGCUUAUGGGGGGCCAGCUAGGUUAUGUUUGACUUGUCUGUCAUUACUGCAUUAUUUAUUUUCUGUAUUGCUUACAUUUAUUCCUUUAUCUCAUUGGCGUAGUUUGACAGUUGUUUACCCUUUUUGUCCCUUUUCUAUUGACUUGGAUUACAUCCUCCCAUUGUAGUUAUACCUUUUCUGUAUUGAGCUCAGUCAGCCCAUGAUGCCUACUGAGCACCCAUUGCUUUGGUACUCAUACUACACUUCUGCAUUUUUUUCCUGAUGCAGAUCUAGGUACUAGCAGUCAACGUUGACGUGAUUCCUAUCUUUCAGUACUGGUUUGGAGCAGGGUGAGCUUACUUUCGUCCGAGGCUGAUCCUCUUUUAUCUACUCUAGUUAAUUUUUUGCACUCGAGACUGCUUGUGUAUAUUGUGUACAUUUUAGAUUUUUGUCCAGUACUUUGGGUACCUGUUAGUAGUGGCUCUAGUACUGACCUUAUCAGGUCUUGGGAGAGAUUCAUUUGUAUAGUUGGUCCUUUUUCCUCCCCUCGUUUUGAUAUAAUAUAUAUGCUCCCUUCUUAGUUUUCACUUAUUAUUGUUGUUGUUACCAUUAUACGUGAUAUUUUAUUUGGUCUCUGCCUGUUAACCUGUUACCUAUCAUUCCGGACUAUGGCUUGCCUUGCCUACUGGUGGGUUAAAGUAGGCGCCAUCACGACUUUAGAAAUCGGGUCGUAACAAUAGAAUUAAAUGAAAUUCGGGAUUUAAGACCCAUAGGUUAUGGGUAAUUCAAUUUUGGAAUAAAUUUCCAACUGACGUUACGGGCUCGAGGUUGACUUUUUCAUUGACUUUUUGACCAAUUAAUUUUGGGUCAAUAUGGAUACCAAUGAACUCAUAUACUUGUAAGAACUCAUAUUUAAACAUUUUGGGAGUGCUCGGAGGCUCUAUGGAAGGGGAAAGCUAUUUUGUGAUUUCAGUGCUUUGAAUCAAGAUAAAUUAAGACUUUCUAGACUCCGAUUGAGAGAUGUUUCCGUAAUUUAUGAUAGUAAGGACUAGGGAGAUGACAAGCACCUAUGAGAGUACCAGGUGACAUGUAUGACGAGUGCUUAUGCGGGUACGGGUACUUAGCCCUUUCAUUAGCCUAUAUAUGUGAUUAUUUGGCACUGCCCAAGUUUAUUUGAGAAUUCUAUGACUGAUGCGAAAAAUGAUCAUCCUAAUUAAUUGAUCAUUUAUUGAUACAUCACAAGAAUAUCUCAUACACUAGUGAUAAUUGAAGAUUGUCUAGAUGUAUUUUUCUAUAGUUAUGGUUAGAUCAGGUGCACGCUUGCAUAGUAUUAUUGUUGGAUCAGGUUGCGCUCCUGCAACGGGUGUAUGGACUUCACCAGUCCCCAUGUGUCAUGGCUCCCGGAAAUCCCUGUUGGAGUACGUGUGUGUACUGGUUGCAUACAUGACCAUUGCAUUGCAUAUUCCAUUCUUUAUUUGACUUGCUGAAUCUGAAUGAGUAAACUGAUACCUGUUUAUUUCAGAGAUCCUAUUUGACUGAUUUAUAGCAUUUCUCUCUUAUUACUCUAAUUAAUUAUCUAUGAAGAUUUAUUUCUGUUUAAGGCUAAUGCAAGUGUUUCCAGCAACCAAAUCUCAUCACUACUUCGACGAUAUCGAUCGAUGAUACUGGGUACGCGUUGUUUUGUACUUAUACUACACUUGUUGCACUCCAUUUCGGGUGCAGGUCUAAAUUUGAGCGCUAGUGGAGUUCACGGAGCAGUUUGAGUCUAUAGUUGUUCAAGCGGAGGUUUUCGCCCUGGCUAAUCCGCAGCACCGUGCUUCCUCUUUAUCAUUUUCUUUCUAUGUUUGUUAUUUCUAGAGAACUGUACCAACUUACUUCAACUUAUAUACUCUUAGAGGCUCUUGUACUUGGACUCCAGGUUUUGGGGUGUAUUUUGUUACUUACACAUUUUUAGGAUUAUGAAGUUAUAGUUAUGACUAAAUUAUGUCUUUUCGCUUUUACUUUCCGCUUAUUUGUUCAAAAUGGACUAAAAUUGUAAUAGGAUUCGCCUAAAGGUUUAGGUGUAGUAGGUGCCUUCACGGUUAUUCGAUUUUUCGGUGACAGGUUUUUGCGCACUAAGGUCUUCCGUUAUCUUAAAUUUUCUUUUGUAUUCUACUUCAGAUCAAGCAAAGAGUGGAGGUGGGUAAAUAUUUGGAAAAAGAGAUCACUAAAUUAAUAUCCUUUCUCAUACUUUCCCACUUCCACUCAGUUAUUAACAUACGAAAGUUUCGCAAUUCAUUAACAUAACAAACUAAGAAACCAGCCAGAAAUGAAUCAUCACAAACAAAAUAAUCAUCUACAGUCCUUACAAUAAAAAAAGGCUGGAACACUGCUCGACUUUACAGAACCAGAAGAAGCACUCAAUGACAAAAGGCCACUUCUCGUUAAUUAUAUACUUAUAUUCUUCACUAAGUUAGUAUAAUUGAAAACAAAAAAGGGGAUAAACGAACACAUGACAGUCUUUGAAGGGGCAGGAAAUGAUUAUUAAUAGAAGAGGGUCAGUAAUUUCUCACGUGUUACUCCGUUAAUUUCUUGGUGCACCAUGAAGUUGACUAGGUGUUAUUUUAUAGAGAACCAUACUUUUGUGCAGACUUCCUAUUUUUGUAUAUUAUUUGUUCUUUAAAUUCUUUUUCAUUUGAUGAACAAGCUUAUAGCAAAUAUUUUCUCACCACACUAACAAAGCUAGUACAUUCACAGAAAGAGGAAUAAACGAACACAAUUUAUACAACUAUUAACAAAAACACAAUUAUCAUUAUGACUCGGUAAUAUGUCACAAACACUAAAGCCUUUGACAAGGAAUUGAAACAAGAUCUCACCCUGCAAGUGAACUGAGAAGAAAGGAAGCAAUGACGCACCAUCCAGUGACAGUUGAAGCAGUAACAGUGGCGUAAUCAAAGAAAUAGACAAGAAUCAUUCGAGAAACACAAGUUCCUACAAGAAUUUCCAAGAACAUUCCUAACGUCAAAUAGUAUAUGCAUUGAAGACACCCAAUUUGCUUAACGAUUAGCCAUGGAUCCCACACCGCUGAACCAUAGAACAUGUCUGUUGCUGUAUUUUUCCCCACCAACACACAACCAACAAGUUUUCCCUCAAAUCCACAAGAAGUAUGUCUUAGAACUGAACUUCAAAACAUACCAAAAGCACAAUCUUUGAUGACUGUUGCUUGUUCCUUCCUCACAAACAAACACCCAACUCUCAAUUCCCUCGAGACCCACAAAAGUACUCUUUGAUCGGAACCAAAAUUCAAUUUCAAAAUACACCAAAGACCAAUCUUCCGCACAAACAAUAAACCAACUUCCAAUUUCCUCAAAACCCAGCAAAAUACUCUUUAAUCUGAAUAAAAAUCCAAGCUCAAGACAAACCAAAAUAGAAAUUUUGAUUACUAUCGCUGAGUUUUCGCACACAAAAAAAGAAUCAGUUUCUCCAACUCCCUCAAAUGCCACCAAAUUACUCUCUGAUCUGAAUCAAAAUUCAACCUCAAAAUACACACAAAUACAAUCUUUGAUGUUUCUUCAAAAACAAAGGGCCUACUUUAGCAAUUAUGUCCAAACCCAAGUAUUCUUUAAUUUGAAUUAUAAUUCACCACAAGAAACACACCAAAAUACAAUCUUUGAUUACUCUUGCUGAGUUCUAUCACACAACCAAACAAGAGCAACUAAACCAAAAGAAAAAUACAGAAACAUGACAAUCUCUGAUCUAAACCAAGGUAAAAUAACAUUGAUUGCAACAAUUAAAAAUUGCAAUAAAGUAUAUACGUGAUAUGAAUAAGGAAGGGGAGAUACUAAACCUUAAUUUCGCGAGAAUAUGUGUCAAAGCUGAUCAAAGCAUAUAGCGUAAAAAAUCUGAGAAUCCAACAAAUUCCACUGAGAUUCACUUCCUGAGAUUUAAUUUUGGAGAACAUAUAUUGGUAAAAGAUUGGAGUGAACAAAUGCACGGAAACCAUUCGAGCGAAGUUGAAGUCUUGUUUGGGCAAAAAUUUUAUUUUGCAUUUCAUACGCUACCUCAUAGUUGUUUGAGGUCUACAUAUUUCACAAAUGGGCUUUUGGGGCUCAUCUGGCAGACCAAAUUUUUUUCUAAAAAUUAC